Molecule: long non-coding RNA, 349 nt
Organism: Rhopalosiphum maidis (corn leaf aphid)
Lineage: Eukaryota; Metazoa; Arthropoda; Insecta; Hemiptera; Aphididae
Exons: 5
Source: RefSeq, a predicted model, not a curated record
AGGUGGCACACAGAGCAUUCCCACGACACUCGCGUUUCUCUGUGCUUUACUGUUUUCUGUGUUUACCGUGUUACGUUUUACGCGUUAUUGCAUCGUGUUAUUUAUGCGUUUCAUUACUACGCAUUUUCGAUUCACCACAACUAAUUGUGCUCCUGUGCGUCCACAUUAUUAGCUGUUUCUUGUUUUAACACUGAUAAGAAUGGACAAACUUUUCAGAAAAUUUCCAAUUGAUAAUACAAUUAACCGGCAAAAUUCUUAUGGAUUUGUGGACAAUAAUACAGUCCCAGGAUCCAUGAAAAAUAGUAUAAAAAUGAGGGUGAAAAGGACGAAAACGAAAAGCAGUAGGAAG